This 253-nucleotide ribosomal RNA is filed under the name uncultured bacterium. Its description in RNAcentral is "partial 16S ribosomal RNA". It matches the Rfam family "Bacterial small subunit ribosomal RNA", at positions 524 to 776 of the family's 1533-position model. The record is from RNAcentral.
UACGAAGGGGGCUAGCGUUGCUCGGAAUCACUGGGCGUAAAGGGUGCGUAGGCGGGUCUUUAAGUUAGGGGUGAAAUCCUGGAGCUCAACUCCAGAACUGCCUUUGAUACUGAGGAUCUUGAGUAUGGGAGAGGUGAGUGGAACUGCGAGUGUAGAGGUGAAAUUCGUAGAUAUUCGCAAGAACACCAGUGGCGAAGGCGGCUAACUGGUCCGGUUCUGACGCUGAGGCGCGAAAGCGUGGGGAGCAAACAGG